Molecule: long non-coding RNA, 346 nt
Organism: Physella acuta
Lineage: Eukaryota; Metazoa; Mollusca; Gastropoda; Physidae
Source: RefSeq, a predicted model, not a curated record
GAAGAAAGAAGUAGACAUAUAUUAAUGAAAUAAACAAAGCUUAUGUCGACAUAUGAGAUCCUAACAUAAUGUUGUGAUAGUCGGUGGUCUGCGUGUUUUUUGUUGGUCUGUAGUGUAAGCAGAUUGUUAGAAUGGGCGUGCUAUAUCAAUACAGCACCAGCAGUUCGACGUCGGAUGAGGUUGGUCAUAACCGACACGACACGACCAAUGUACUCAUCUUACAGAUUGGCUCCGCUUUGAUCUCAUCGUUUGGUAUACCAGGUAACCUCCUCACCAUUGUGGUACUCCAGCGCCCGUCCCUAAAAGACAACCACUUCACCGUGUACCUCAUCAGCCUCUGUGUCUG